RNAcentral lists this ribosomal RNA (507 nucleotides) under Fusarium sp. 1CD-3. RNAcentral's name for it is "eukaryotic LSU rRNA". The stretch from base 160 to 313 matches the Rfam family "5.8S ribosomal RNA". Lineage: Eukaryota; Fungi; Ascomycota; Sordariomycetes; Hypocreales; Nectriaceae. The record is from RNAcentral.
AGGGAUCAUUACCGAGUUUACAACUCCCAAACCCCUGUGAACAUACCAAUUGUUGCCUCGGCGGAUCAGCCCGCUCCCGGUAAAACGGGACGGCCCGCCAGAGGACCCCUAAACUCUGUUUCUAUAUGUAACUUCUGAGUAAAACCAUAAAUAAAUCAAAACUUUCAACAACGGAUCUCUUGGUUCUGGCAUCGAUGAAGAACGCAGCAAAAUGCGAUAAGUAAUGUGAAUUGCAGAAUUCAGUGAAUCAUCGAAUCUUUGAACGCACAUUGCGCCCGCCAGUAUUCUGGCGGGCAUGCCUGUUCGAGCGUCAUUUCAACCCUCAAGCCCAGCUUGGUGUUGGGACUCGCGAGUUAAAUCGCGUUCCCCAAAUUGAUUGGCGGUCACGUCGAGCUUCCAUAGCGUAGUAGUAAAACCCUCGUUACUGGUAAUCGUCGCGGCCACGCCGUUAAACCCCAACUUCUGAAUGUUGACCUCGGAUCAGGUAGGAAUACCCGCUGAACUUAA